AACGAACGCUGGCGGCAGGCCUAACACAUGCAAGUCGAACGCUCGUAGCAAUACGGGAGUGGCAGACGGGUGCGUAACGCGUGGGAACAUACCCUUUGGUUCGGAAUAACUCAGGGAAACUUGAGCUAAUACCGGAUACGCCCGAGAGGGGAAAGAUUUAUUGCCGAAGGAUUGGCCCGCGUCUGAUUAGCUUGUUGGUAGGGUAACGGCCUACCAAGGCGACGAUCAGUAGCUGGUCUGAGAGGAUGAUCAGCCACACUGGGACUGAGACACGGCCCAGACUCCUACGGGAGGCAGCAGUGGGGAAUAUUGGACAAUGGGCGCAAGCCUGAUCCAGCCAUGCCGCGUGAGUGAUGACGGCCCUAGGGUUGUAAAGCUCUUUUACCCGGGAAGAUAAUGACGGUACCGGGAGAAUAAGCCCCGGCUAACUCGUG
This 434-nucleotide ribosomal RNA is filed under the name uncultured bacterium. Its description in RNAcentral is "bacterial SSU rRNA". It matches the Rfam family "Bacterial small subunit ribosomal RNA", at positions 29 to 507 of the family's 1533-position model. The record is from RNAcentral.